AUACUCCGAGAACUGAAAGGCUUUUUGAAGUCUUCGGAUGGAUAGAAGAACCCCUGAUGCCGUCGAGCCAAGAAAAGUUUCUAAGUUUAGCUAAUGUUGCCCGUACCGUAAACCGACACAGGUGGGUGGGAUGAGUAUUCUAAGGCGCGUGGAAGAACUCUCUUUAAGGAACUCUGCAAAAUAGCACCGUAUCUUCGGUAUAAGGUGUGGUUAGCUUUGUAUUAGGAUUUACUCCGAAAGCAAGGAAACUUACAACAAAGAGUCCCUCCCGACUGUUUACCAAAAACACAGCACUCUGCUAACUCGUAAGAGGAUGUAUAGGGUGUGACGCCUGCCCGGUGCUCGAAGGUUAAUUGAUGGGGUUAGCAUUAGCGAAGCUCUUGAUCGAAGCCCGAGUAAACGGCGGCCGUAACUAUAACGGUCCUAAGGUAGCGAAAUUCCUUGUCGGUUAAAUACCGACCUGCAUGAAUGGCGUAACGAGAUGGGAGCUGUCUCAAAGAGGGAUCCAGUGAAAUUGUAGUGGAGGUGAAAAUUCCUCCUACCCGCGGCAAGACGGAAAGACCCCGUGGACCUUUACUACAGCUUGACACUGCUAUUUGGAUAAGAAUGUGCAGGAUAGGUGGGAGGCUUUGAGUAUAUGACGCCAGUUGUAUAUGAGCCAUUGUUGAGAUACCACUCUUUCUUAUUUGGGUAGCUAACCAGCUUGAGUUAUCCUCAAGUGGGACAAUGUCUGGUGGGUAGUUUGACUGGGGCGGUCGCCUCCCAAAUAAUAACGGAGGCUUACAAAGGUUGGCUCAGAACGGUUGGAAAUCGUUCGUAGAGUAUAAAGGUAUAAGCCAGCUUAACUGCAAGACAUACAAGUCAAGCAGAGACGAAAGUCGGUCUUAGUGAUCCGGUGGUUCUGUGUGGAAGGGCCAUCGCUCAAAGGAUAAAAGGUACCCCGGGGAUAACAGGCUGAUCUCCCCCAAGAGCUCACAUCGACGGGGAGGUUUGGCACCUCGAUGUCGGCUCAUCGCAUCCUGGGGCUGGAGCAGGUCCCAAGGGUAUGGCUGUUCGCCAUUUAAAGCGGUACGCGAGCUGGGUUCAGAACGUCGUGAGACAGUUCGGUCCCUAUCUGCCGUGGGCGUAAGAAGAUUGAAGAGAUUUGACCCUAGUACGAGAGGACCGGGUUGAACAAACCACUGGUGUAGCUGUUGUUCUGCCAAGAGCAUCGCAGCGUAGCUAAGUUUGGAAAGGAUAAACGCUGAAAGCAUCUAAGCGUGAAGCCAACUCUAAGAUGAAUCUUCUCUAAGCUCUCUAGAAGACUACUAGUUUGAUAGGCUGGGUGUGUAAUGGAUGAAAGUCCUUUAGCUGACCAGUACUAAUAGAGCGUUUGGCUUAUCUUU
Molecule: ribosomal RNA, 1385 nt
Filed under: Campylobacter coli
Lineage: Bacteria; Pseudomonadati; Campylobacterota; Epsilonproteobacteria; Campylobacterales; Campylobacteraceae
Description: partial 23S ribosomal RNA
Rfam family: Bacterial large subunit ribosomal RNA
Source: RNAcentral